Molecule: long non-coding RNA, 89 nt
Organism: Sander lucioperca (pikeperch)
Lineage: Eukaryota; Metazoa; Chordata; Actinopteri; Perciformes; Percidae
Exons: 3
Source: RefSeq, a predicted model, not a curated record
AAAAAUAUUCCGUCCGUGCUCAUGCACAGGACAGGGGAAAGACCAUGGAUGUAGAAAGGGAAAGGCAGUGGGAGCAAGAGGGAGAGAGA